GCAUUAUAACCUAAUGUGCAUUUCUUUUGAAAUGAGUAUCUUGAAACUUUGAACAAAUAAAUAAUAAUUAAAAAAAAAGAAACACUUGCAGAAUUGGAAUAACUAAGGUGCAUAACACAAUAUCUUAAUCUUUUUAUUAAUCAUUCCAGCUGUAUCUUGUCUUGUAGCCGUUUGAGGUUCAUAAUAACAUCCAAAUCUGACACAUUACUGAAUGUGCAGAUAAGCUUGGCAGUAGAACUUUUCAUGUGGGCUGCCAAAUCACUGUCACAUGCUAAGCUUCAUUUGUUUGCUUUUGUAUAAUAUUAUAUGGCUGCAAAUGGGAAUACUUCCACUGCCCUUUGUAUUGAUUAUUGAAACAUUUGACACUUUCAACAACUACACAACCCUGUUAAGAUUAAGAAGCCACUCAAAAAUUCAAGUCAAUCCCAACAUCAUCCCCUCUUCACUUUCCUUUCACAUCAUUUAUUCUCACAUUUUAUUCAAUUUACAAAUAAAAUAUUUUCCCUCUCUUAUUUUCUUGACUUUUAUUUUAAUUUAAAACAGCACAAUCUUGACGGAUAUUUCCCUUUUUGCCUGUCUUGACUCCGACCCGGCCCAAUUUCUUCAUGGCGGCAACAAAGGCUCUUUCAAAGGCUGGGGAGUUGCUAGCCCAUGCAUUAACAGUGGGCCUGGACCUUGGGUCUGUAAAGAGGACUUGGUCUGCAGUGAAGAGUCCCUUUCCAUUCUGGAGGUUCUUGAAGUAUACAUUGUCAAAGGUAUUAGGUGUGAUCGGGUCCAUGUUGACGGCUAUCCUGGGAUCCACGUUCCUGGGGCACAUCUGCUGUAGUUCAGUUGCAUAGGACGGGUUGAGUGUAGGAUCCACUGGAUUUUGACGACUGAAAUUGUAUAUCCUGUUGCUGAACCUGUUGCAGUGGGAAAAUCCAAGGGUGUGUGCCGCUGCAGAAAAUCAAAUGGAUGGUGAUUAGCAUCACACAAUCAAAGCUUGACUUUUCAUCGUUAUUGCUGGGUGCUUACCAACCAAUGCCAGGUAAUAAGAUUAUAUAUAUUAAAUUAAACAAAAUCCAGAAGACAAUUGACCUGUGACCUGUCAAAUGAGGCUGAGAAUCUACGAUUUACUUGUCUUCGUAGCCAAAUUAUUAGGCUUGUGUCACCUUAAUUUUUUUAUGGCUUUUCAAUAAUUAAAAGAAUAAUAAACAAUGAAUAACAAACUAGUACCUGACAGAGCAAUCAUGUCAGUCUGGGAGAGGCCAUGAGAAGCAAAGAGAGAAUUGAGUUGAUUCAGAUUGAAAGUUUCCUUAGGCAGUUUGCCAUUAACGCUAGCAGCAGUUGAGCUGAGGCCAUCAAGUCUUCCCAAUUCAACAGCAUAUGAAGGUCCACCAGACUACAUUUAUAUCACAUACCAAAUGUUGAGGUUCAAUUAAUUAUGACCAUGAAAUUCAUGGCAGAGAAUAUAAGAGUAUGUGUACUGUGGACUGACCAGAGCAACAACAUCUCUUGUUGCCAUUGCAAGAAUAUCUGCACAUGACACCUUGUUUCUGCAGCUGGGGAUGGCGUCCACGGCGGCUUUGGCCUUGAUCACGGUGUCAAAUCCAUCCCCGGCCAAUGAUAAAUUAUCCGGGUGGUCUUUCUCUGCUUUGUUGUUCGGAGUGGAUUGGAUUAUAACUGAAGCAUCACAUCCCUUUUACAUGCCGAAACAAAUUACACAAGCUAAAAUGGAUUAAUGGGUAUUCUGUUUUCUCCUGAUUUCUAAAAAGGAAAAAAGAGCAAUAACAUAGUUACCUGCACAAAGCAAUCAUGGAAGAAGAGACGGAGGGUUCCAGGAACAGUGACAAAAGUCUGCUGAAAUUUCUUUUGAACUGCAUUUCUAACAAUGGAUUCCACAUUUGGGCAAAUAUUGGCAUAAUAAUUUUGUCUAAGCUGAGCUGAAACAGAACUUGAAAAGAGGCACAAACUGAAAGAAAGUGACAAUACAAGAAUAAGCUGGAAACUACCCAUCAUGACCCUGAUCCACUAUAAUAUGUAAAAGAAGCUAUAACUAAGAGAAGAAAAGGCUGAGCAGUAGAUUGAAAGGAGCAAGGUCGCCAUAUUUAUAUGUAUAUAUAUAUUGGACAAUCUUUUAUGACAGCCAAGCAAGUAAGUCCAUCAUUUUAAGGAAUGGGGGCUGAUGUUGAAAAAGACAUGGAUCCAUUGGCCGCCUUUGUUUUCUUGCGUAAUUGGCUAACUGCUCUGCUGCUUUUGGCAUUCUGUUUGAGACAGUGAGAA
RNAcentral lists this unclassified non-coding RNA (2262 nucleotides) under Hevea brasiliensis (rubber tree). Lineage: Eukaryota; Viridiplantae; Streptophyta; Magnoliopsida; Malpighiales; Euphorbiaceae. The record is from RNAcentral.